RNAcentral lists this long non-coding RNA (721 nucleotides) under Rattus norvegicus (Norway rat). RNAcentral describes it as "long non-coding RNA NONRATT019034". Lineage: Eukaryota; Metazoa; Chordata; Mammalia; Rodentia; Muridae. The record is from RNAcentral.
CUUGCCCUUCAUAUUUGCCAGCAGUUUCCUCAGCCUUUUCUCCUGGCUUCUCUCUUCCCAGCCUAUGACACCAUCAGCCAGAAUUUUGGGACCUGCCAAUCACUUUCCAGCCCAAAGGACCUGACUCAGCUCUUUGGGUUUGCCCGGAAUGCAUUUACUGUUCUCGCCAUGAUGGAUUACCCGUACCCUACUAACUUUCUAGGGCCCCUUCCUGCCAACCCUGUCAAGGUGGGCUGUGAACGGUUGUUGAGUGAGGGCCAGAGGAUCAUGGGUCUACGGGCACUGGCAGGUGAGUCUACUCCUUGGUCUUAAUGGGGCAAGGGUAGUGACUCUAACAGUGACACAGGGCUGAGUAGGGAAAGGACCCAUAUCCCUGACCUGGGCUUAGUCUGGUAGGCUAUUUGAAAUGUAGUAGGGGACCCAGUACAGCUUUUGAAAAGACAGGACCUGUGUCUUGGGAACCGGGCAUAAGCUGAAGAGGGUAACAUGACUUCCUAGUCAUCCUAAGAACAUGCAUAGCUACCCGAGGGUUGCUAUGGGACCUUUGCAGUCCCUCGCCACAAGGCUCUACAUGCCUGCCCUGCCCUGUUGUGAGGCAGGGUACUUGGCAUUAAGAUUGUGUCCCUGGGGGCUGGGGAUUUAGCUCAGUGGUAGAGCGCUUACCUAGGAAGCGCAAGGCCCUGGGUUCGGUCCCCAGCUCCGAAAAAAAGAACCAAAAAAA